UACGUAGGGUCCGAGCGUUGUCCGGAUUUAUUGGGCGUAAAGAGCUCGUAGGCGGUUCCGUAAGUCAGAUGUGAAAACUCAGGGCUCAACCCGGAGACGCCAUCUGAUACAGCGGUGACUGGAGUCUGGUAGGGGAACACGGAAUUCCUGGUGUAGCGGUGAAAUGCGCAGAUAUCAGGAGGAACACCGAUGGCGAAGGCAGUGUUCUGGGCCAGUACUGACGCUGAGGAGCGAAAGCGUGGGGAGCAAACAGG
Molecule: ribosomal RNA, 254 nt
Filed under: uncultured bacterium
Lineage: Bacteria
Description: partial 16S ribosomal RNA
Rfam family: Bacterial small subunit ribosomal RNA
Source: RNAcentral